ACGGAGGGUGCAAGCGUUAUUCGGAAUGACUGGGCGUAAAGGGCGUGCAGGCGGGUGAGUAAGUCUGAUGUGAAAGCCCGGGGCUUAAACCCGGAAGGGCAUUGGAAACUGCUUGUCUUGAGUGCGGGAGAGGAAGGGAGAAUUCCCGGUGUAGAGGUGAAAUGCGUAGAGAUCGGGAGGAACAUCAGUGGCGAAGGCGACCUUCUGGGCAGCAACUGACGCUGAGGCGCGAAAGCGUGGGGAGCAAACAG
This 251-nucleotide ribosomal RNA is filed under the name uncultured prokaryote. RNAcentral's name for it is "partial 16S rRNA". It matches the Rfam family "Bacterial small subunit ribosomal RNA", at positions 525 to 775 of the family's 1533-position model. The record is from RNAcentral.